RNAcentral lists this ribosomal RNA (403 nucleotides) under Fusobacteriota bacterium. RNAcentral's name for it is "Fusobacteria bacterium partial 16S ribosomal RNA". It matches the Rfam family "Bacterial small subunit ribosomal RNA", at positions 355 to 776 of the family's 1533-position model. Lineage: Bacteria; Fusobacteriati; Fusobacteriota. The record is from RNAcentral.
UGGGGAAUAUUGCACAAUGGAGGGAACUCUGAUGCAGCGACGCCGCGUGAACGAAGAAGGCUUUCGAGUCGUAAAGUUCUUUUAUAUGGGAAGAUAAUGACGGUACCAUAAGAAAAAGCCCCGGCCAACUACGUGCCAGCAGCCGCGGUAAUACGUAGGGGGCUAGCGUUGUCCGGAAUCACUGGGCGUAAAGGGUUCGCGGGCGGAAAUGCAAGUCAGGUGUAAAAGGCAGUAGCUUAACUACUGUAAGCAUUUGAAACUGCAUAUCUUGAGAAGAGUAGAGGUAAGUGGAAUUUUUGGUGUAGCGGUGAAAUGCGUAGAUAUUAGAAAGAAUACCGGUGGCGAAGGCGACUUACUGAGCUCAUUCUGACGCUGAGGAACGAAAGCGUGGGUAGCAAACAGG